UGGGGAAUAUUGGACAAUGGGCGCAAGCCUGAUCCAGCCAUGCCGCGUGAGUGAUGAAGGCCCUAGGGUUGUAAAGCUCUUUUGGCGGGGAAGAUAAUGACGGUACCCGCAGAAUAAGCCCCGGCUAACUUCGUGCCAGCAGCCGCGGUAAUACGAAGGGGGCUAGCGUUGCUCGGAAUCACUGGGCGUAAAGCGCACGUAGGCGGAUUCUUAAGUCAGAGGUGAAAGCCUGGAGCUCAACGCCAGAACUGCCUUUGAUACUGGGAGUCGCGAGUUCGGGAGAGGUGAGUGGAGCUGCGAGUGAAGAGGUGAAAUUCGUAGAUAUUCGCAAGAACACCAGGGGCGAAGGCGGCUCACUGGCCCGAUACUGACGCUGAGGUGCGAAAGCGUGGGGAGCAAACA
RNAcentral lists this ribosomal RNA (402 nucleotides) under uncultured prokaryote. RNAcentral describes it as "bacterial SSU rRNA". It matches the Rfam family "Bacterial small subunit ribosomal RNA", at positions 355 to 774 of the family's 1533-position model. The record is from RNAcentral.